UUCCGGUUGAUCCUGCCGGAGGUCACUGCUAUUGGGAUUCGACUAAGCCAUGCGAGUCGAGAGGGUUCGGCCCUCGGCUGACGGCUCAGUAACACGUGGAUAAUCUGCCCUUAGGUGGAGGAUAAUCUCGGGAAACUGAGGAUAAUACUCCAUAGAUCUAGGAUGCUGGAAUGCAUCUAGAUUGAAAGCUCCGGCGCCUAAGGAUGAGUCUGCGGACUAUCAGGUUGUAGUCAGGGUAAAGACCUGACUAGCCUACGACGGAUACGGGUUGUGAGAGCAAUAACCCGGAGACGAUAUCUGAGACACGAUAUCGGGCCCUACGGGGCGCAGCAGGCGCGAAAACUUCACACUGUGCGAAAGCGCGAUGAGGGAAUCCCAAGUGUUUGCUCGUAAGAGUAAACUGUUUCUUUGUUUAAAACGCAGAGAGAGUAAGGGCUGGGUAAGACGGGUGCCAGCCGCCGCGGUAAUACCUGCAGCUCAAGUGGUGAUCAUUAUUAUUGGGCCUAAAACGUCCGUAGCCGGUUUAGUAAAUGCCUGGGUAAAUUGUGUAGCUUAACUAUACGACUUCCGGGUAGACUGCUAAACUUGAGACCGGGAGAGGCUAGAGGUACUCCUGGGGUAGAGGUGAAAUUCUGUAAUCCUAGGGGGACCACCAGUGGCGAAGGCGUCUAGCUAGAACGGGUCUGACGGUGAGGGACGAAGCCCUGGGGCACAAACCGGAUUAGAUACCCGGGUAGUCCAGGGUGUAAACGCUGCUUGCUUGAUGUUAGUUGGGCUCCGAGCCCAACUAGUGUCGGAGAGAAGUUGUUAAGCAAGCUGCCUGGGAAGUACGGUCGCAAGGCUGAAACUUAAAGGAAUUGGCGGGGGAGCACAGCAACGGGUGGAGCGUGCGGUUUAAUUGGAUUCAACGCCGGG
Molecule: ribosomal RNA, 915 nt
Filed under: uncultured archaeon
Lineage: Archaea
Description: bacterial SSU rRNA
Rfam family: Archaeal small subunit ribosomal RNA
Source: RNAcentral